This 133-nucleotide ribosomal RNA is filed under the name Vibrio parahaemolyticus. RNAcentral describes it as "partial 16S ribosomal RNA". It matches the Rfam family "Bacterial small subunit ribosomal RNA", at positions 1410 to 1533 of the family's 1533-position model. Lineage: Bacteria; Pseudomonadati; Pseudomonadota; Gammaproteobacteria; Vibrionales; Vibrionaceae. The record is from RNAcentral.
GUGGGCUGCAAAAGAAGUAGGUAGUUUAACCUUCGGGGGGACGCUUACCACUUUGUGGUUCAUGACUGGGGUGAAGUCGUAACAAGGUAGCGCUAGGGGAACCUGGCGCUGGAUCACCUCCUUAAACAAUGAU